UUCCUAAUCAUACUUCCAGCUGCUCUCUUUUCUAAUAUCCUCGCUUUCCCCAGUUGAGGAUGUCUCUGUUGUUCCUCUCAAAUUAUGGUCUCUGCCUCUUUUUAUAUGGAUUGUGAACAUUCUUCCACUUCUUAGAUGCAUAUUCCUCUUGCUCAACUUGCUGAAGUAUGUAAUUAGAUGGAGAUUAAGAGUUUGUGUGAAACUCGAAAAAGGGUUUGAACCCUACAGUCCAGCUACGUAGUUCUUUGCAAGUACCCCUUGUUUGACAUUUUUUCACUUCAUCUCCUCCUCCCUUCUAAGAAAAGUCUUUUUUGCAGCUGAAGAAGAAGUAGAGAAGACUGUGCUGCUUUUACUCAUCAAGUCACUAUACCGACAAAAAAAUUAAAAGAACAAUAUCAUAAACCUCUACUCAUGUUUAACUAGGUGAAUGGGGAGGUUUUUACUCAAAAGACGAAAGAUUUAGAGAAGGUGAAGUUGAAGGAAUGCUUGAAUGUGAUAUCCAUGAUAAUUACAAAUUGUGAGGUUUAGGCCUUGGGCUAAAAUUCUAUUUUCCCUAUGACUAAUAUCUUCUUUCAAAGGUCUGACAUCUUUGGACUUUUCAUCUAUGGAUAUUGAGUUUCCCAGUGAUGAUAGCAAAUGCCAUGCUUGAGCGCAGGAUAUAGUUAGCACUAUUCUUGGAUACACAGUUGUCUGAAUUUGGAUGCACUUUAGAGGUUUGAUGAUAGUACAUCCCGAUUGAGUUUUAAAAUUUCUGAACAAGCGUUAGGGCAUGUUUGGGAGUCCAAAAUAGUAGCUGCACGUGAUUAGCAUGAGAUGCACGCUCUAUUUUACCCCUGAGAGGGCAUGACAUGUAGUAUGCAGUGCAUGCUCCAUUCCGGCGCUCCAGAGUAUGUGACGCACUCUCUAAAGCAUGCUCCCAAAAUUUACAGCUUUUAGUCAUAUUUUUCAAGGGCAUUUCAGUCCUUUUGCUUAACCCAACUAAUCUAAAACAUGGGAUUUAGUGUCCUAAAAGCAUAACUUACUACUUUAUUCUCAAAAUUUCCCCCAUUCAAAACCAUUCCUUUUCAAGAACAAGUUUUAUCUCUUAAAUAUUCAAGAUCAAUCCCCAAGAAUUCAUCAAGAACUUUCUCAAAUUGGCAAACUAAGGUAUGCUAAAUGUUCAUCCUUAGGUCCAUUUCCACCCUUGGAGUCC
Molecule: long non-coding RNA, 1192 nt
Organism: Capsicum annuum
Lineage: Eukaryota; Viridiplantae; Streptophyta; Magnoliopsida; Solanales; Solanaceae
Exons: 6
Source: RefSeq, a predicted model, not a curated record